GUAAGGUAACGGCUUACCAAGGCAACGAUACGUAGCCGACCUGAGAGGGUGAUCGGCCACACUGGAACUGAGACACGGUCCAGACUCCUACGGGAGGCAGCAGUAGGGAAUCUUCCGCAAUGGGCGAAAGCCUGACGGAGCAACGCCGCGUGAGUGAUGAAGGUCUUCGGAUCGUAAAACUCUGUUAUCAGGGAAGAACAAAUGUGUAAGUAACUGUGCACUUCUUGACGUACCUGAUCAGAAACCACGCUA
This 252-nucleotide ribosomal RNA is filed under the name Staphylococcus warneri. Its description in RNAcentral is "partial 16S ribosomal RNA". It matches the Rfam family "Bacterial small subunit ribosomal RNA", at positions 252 to 499 of the family's 1533-position model. The record is from RNAcentral. Lineage: Bacteria; Bacillati; Bacillota; Bacilli; Caryophanales; Staphylococcaceae.